AAAAAAUAACGAUACGGGACUCAUCCGAGGCCCCGUAAUCGGAAUGAGAACAUCCUAAAUCCUUUAACGAGGAUCUAUUGGAGGGCAAGUCUGGUGCCAGCAGCCGCGGUAAUUCCAGCUCCAAUAGCGUAUAUUAAAGUUGUUGCGGUUAAAAAGCUCGUAGUUGGUUCUGCGUGCCACGCUGUCGGUUCACCGCCUGUCGGUGCAACUGGCAUGCCGUGGCAUGUCCUGUCGGUGGCGGAUAGGCUUCGCGGUGAAUUCUGCACAACUUAUGGUGUGCAGGUCGCCGUGUCGUCCUUGUACGCUGGCAUAAUCCUACCGCGGUGCUCUUUACCGAGUGUCGAGGUAGGCCGGCACAUUUUACUUUGAACAAAUUAGAGUGCUUAAAGCAGGCUCUUAAAUCAGCCUGAAUAGUGGUGCAUGGAAUAAUGGAACAGGACCUUGGUUCUAUUUUGUUGGUUUUAGGAAUCCAAGGUAAUGAUCAAUAAGGACAGGCGGGGGCAUUCGUAUUGCGGCGUUAGAGGUGAAAUUCUUGGAUCGUCGCAAGACGCACUAGAGCGAAAGCAUUUGCCAAGUAUGUCUUAAUUGA
RNAcentral lists this ribosomal RNA (589 nucleotides) under Pyrrhocoridae sp. SS-2014. RNAcentral describes it as "SSU rRNA". It matches the Rfam family "Eukaryotic small subunit ribosomal RNA", at positions 472 to 976 of the family's 1831-position model. The record is from RNAcentral. Lineage: Eukaryota; Metazoa; Arthropoda; Insecta; Hemiptera; Pyrrhocoridae.